GGGGAAUAUUGCACAAUGGGCGCAAGCCUGAUGCAGCGACGCCGCGUGAGGGAUGACGGCCUUCGGGUUGUAAACCUCUUUCAGUAGGGAAGAAGCGAAAGUGACGGUACCUGCAGAAGAAGCGCCGGCUAACUACGUGCCAGCAGCCGCGGUAAUACGUAGGGUGCGAGCGUUGUCCGGAAUUAUUGGGCGUAAAGAGCUCGUAGGCGGCCUGUCACGUCGGAUGUGAAAACCCGGGGCUCAACCCCGGGCCUGCAUUCGAUACGGGCAGGCUAGAGUUCGGCAGGGGAGACUGGAAUUCCUGGUGUAGCGGUGAAAUGCGCAGAUAUCAGGAGGAACACCGGUGGCGAAGGCGGGUCUCUGGGCCGAUACUGACGCUGAGGAGCGAAAGCGUGGGGAGCGAA
RNAcentral lists this ribosomal RNA (404 nucleotides) under uncultured bacterium. RNAcentral describes it as "bacterial SSU rRNA". It matches the Rfam family "Bacterial small subunit ribosomal RNA", at positions 356 to 772 of the family's 1533-position model. The record is from RNAcentral.